AAGUCGUAACAAGGUUUCCGUAGGUGAACCUGCGGAAGGAUCAUUACCUUCUAGUUAUUUUGACUAGCUCGGGGGCCGGCUUGCGUUGUCCCAAAAGGACCCCUGCCGCCCCGGCUGCAUCCUUGUCUAUUGCGUACUACAUGUUUCCUCGGUAGGCUUGCCUACCGGUUGGACAACCAUUAAACUCUUUUGUAAUUGCAAUCAGCGUCUGAAAAUAAUUUUAAUUAUUACAACUUUCAACAACGGAUCUCUUGGUUCUG
This 260-nucleotide unclassified non-coding RNA is filed under the name air metagenome. RNAcentral describes it as "partial contains small subunit ribosomal RNA, internal transcribed spacer 1, and 5.8S ribosomal RNA". The stretch from base 1 to 46 matches the Rfam family "Eukaryotic small subunit ribosomal RNA", at positions 1786 to 1831 of the family's 1831-position model. The record is from RNAcentral.